UUCACAAUCCGUUUCAAUCCUUGUCAUCUUUGGCAAUAUGCUUGUAUUAAGACACUAUUACAGUCAUUUGUGAAGUAUACUACGCUAUUGUGAUGUUUUUGGCGCUUUUGUCUGUAUGGAAAGUUAACUGAUACGAAUAUUGUUAGAUCAUGCUGUGUGAUCUGACAAGCUGUUUGUCUUGCAUUCAAAUAUCCACUCUUAAACAUUAGCUUAUCUUGUGCAACAUCUUUAGGAGUAAAAAAAAAAAUAACCUUAAGGUUUAUCGAGUCUGAAGUGUAAUUUACCAGCAUAAUUAUUUUAAACAUAAUUUAACACCUGCUGCUGUUUAGCUUAGCAGCUAGCUAUUGCUCUCUAGCUUGCUAUUGCCCUGUAAUGCCCCACAUGUUACUCAAAAUAUGUAUUAUAUUUUUUGUAAUGGGCGUCACUAUUGGCCAGUCCUGAAUAUCACCUUUGAAAAGCCAUGUUUGCCGAUAUUGUGAGAAAAGGUUCAUCUCUGUUUUUCAACUUGACAGAUGGUUACCCCCUGUGCUAGUGGAAGAUGUGACUUUGAAGACAGUCAUUGUAAAAGGUGCAAAAGGCUUGUCUAAGAUAAGCUGGCAGUCUACACCGCAUGGCCUGCGUUGCUGACAUUAAGUGAAGUUAAUGCAGAGUUCCUGUGCCUGACAGAUACUUGAGGAAGCAUCUUGGAGGUUGUCAAGGAGAAGGGAGGCGUUGCCAGAAGGAAGGACUGGAGUGGCGAAGUGAUCCAAAGGCAGACUGCACAUCUACGUAUAUGGUUUGCAAGGAACAUCCCGUGCCAGAGACUGUGAUACAAGGCAUGGAGCUGUACAGUGAACUCGGAGCAUCUCUUGUGCAUGUGUGAUGCUGUUUGGACUCGGUUACCGGUAUAUACCCUCAAUCUCAACUCUGUGGAUUUGGAUUUACAAUUUUAAGUAUCCAGAUGAACUGAAAUAUAUGUUCUGGUGAAUUUGGAAAAUAUGCCCAAAAGGUCCAAUCACUAUAAACUACAGUAAAUAUGUUGGACACUGGCAAUCUCAGGUUCUAAGCCAUUGUAUAAAAGGACAAUCCAUCGCAUUUCUAUUAAUACUUUUGUGUGCUGUUCUCUGAUCUGAGUUGAUGAUUUUUUUGUCCUUUUUUGUCUUUUGUCAGCAUGGCAUUGAGGGGCUUUUUUCUAAACAUUGGCUAUGCAGAUUAAAAGAUGAGCACUAUAAGGAAAGGCGUAAUAACGCCUCAGUAGCACUUCAUGGACACAUUGAUAUCAUAAUUAAAAACAUUUCUCUCUCCCUCUCCUCCCCCACUUUGAGAAAGAAUCAAAGAGUCAAAAGUGCUCCUGCGGGCAGUUGGUUAAUUCUAAAAUGUCCAUUCACAAAUAACAUCUUUUUCAUGAAUGUCUAAGUAAAUAAGUGAGUAAAUAGACACAUACUGUUCUGAUGAGAGUAUGCUUUUCGGCCAAAGAUAUCUGACUGCAUAUCUGACCCAAGGGAUUAUGACAUUACUUAGAAUUUGAUGGUGGUUGUAAGCAUUCAUGAAAAAGAUGACAUUUCUGAACAGGCCACAUUAAUUAAUGUGUUACAGUACACUGAUAAUUUCAGGUUUUCUGUUUAAUUUCUGUUUAAUCAUACGAUUAUAUUGUCAAGAUUUUGGUGUUUUAUUAUCGUUUGACUGCAUGUUUGUCCAGCUGAUGAAAUAUUAAUAAAAGAAAUGUUUUGAA
Engraulis encrasicolus (European anchovy) is the source of this 1711-nucleotide long non-coding RNA. RefSeq lists it as uncharacterized. The transcript has 4 exons. The record is from RefSeq and is a predicted model, not a curated record. Lineage: Eukaryota; Metazoa; Chordata; Actinopteri; Clupeiformes; Engraulidae.